ACACUUGCCCGUAGAGAUGCUG
Molecule: microRNA, 22 nt
Filed under: Echinops telfairi (small Madagascar hedgehog)
Lineage: Eukaryota; Metazoa; Chordata; Mammalia; Afrosoricida; Tenrecidae
Description: Ete-Mir-216-P2a_3p (mature (co-guide))
Source: RNAcentral